This 733-nucleotide long non-coding RNA is filed under the name Mus musculus (house mouse). RNAcentral describes it as "cytoplasmic endogenous regulator of oxidative phosphorylation 1". The record is from RNAcentral. Lineage: Eukaryota; Metazoa; Chordata; Mammalia; Rodentia; Muridae.
GCCUUGCGACCCCGCUCCACCCUCCGUACCACGUGGGCCAGGCGCCCCGCAGCCUGAUCCCUCGGCUGAGGCGGGGUCAGAGGGCUAAGGGUGACUGACUGCCCAGUGCAUGGAUCUCAGCAGCACGGCUUGACUUUCGGGCGGCAGGCAAGGAUGCUAAUCCACAAGGUUCCUGAGUCCAACAUCCCUCCCUCCAAUGUGGGGCUCGAAUCCGCUAUUGCAACCAAACCCGGGUUCUGCCCGCAGGGUGGCGCAAUGACAAGAGCCACCAGGUGACCCUGGUAACUCCCGCACCUAGACCUGGAAAAGGCCAGUCCUGUGCAGUGUGGCCUUAGGGCAUCUACAGCUCUGGACAGAGGGAGAAGGUCCAAGUCCCUGCUUCCUGCUGAGGGGACGGCUAAGGAAGAGAAACUACCUUAAUGGAUCCUACGGCUGUUGAUCCCCUCGGAAGUGAGACAUAAUGUCCCGGAGCAGAUGCUGAUGGGGACUCACUGUUGGGCCACCUGAUUUCUGUGUUCAUCUUCCCAGGCUCCACCUUUCAGAUCCCAUCCCUGGUGUCUGCAGUUACAACUUUACUAACCAGAACUUUGUUUCCAGCUUACGCUGAAAAGCAAAGGGUGACUUAGAAUAAAAAUGUAACAAAUAGCCCCAUAGCCCAAACCUUUUCUGCCAUGAUUUACUGUACCAGAUACCUAUAAGUGUCCAGGGCAAAUUAAACACAUCAAUAAAUGGC